UACGAUGUUACCAGGGAAAUCAGACGUGGUGGUGUCAACAGAUACUGCAGGAGCUCAUCCUCCAUCAGAGCAGAGCUCAGAAGCUCAGUGCAGACCCACACAGCAACCGGCAGCGAUAAGAAUAAAUGCCAUUUGGAGAAGAAAACCAUCCUACCCACGCGGAGGGAGGGGGGCCUGGCAGGGACAUGCAGGUACCACCCACUGCUGCAAGCACUUGGCACGUGUUCCCAGAGACAUUCAAACAUGUACCAAAGAGCUUCUCCUGUCUGAGCAGUCAGUGCAUCCUUACAGACCUCCCUACAAUUGGAGCCCCUCAGGGUGUUUGCAAUGUAGCCCUGCAUCCUUUCCAACAGCAAAUGUUUCUGUGAGAGAGAAUUACUCUUCCAAAAUGACAUUUUCAGGAUCUUUUAAGAAAGUGGUUUCAUGAAGCUCGAUUUUUUUUCUUCCCGCAUUUAUUUGCAUUUUUAAAACGGUGGCAUUUAGGGGUGUUGUUUUGAAAUAUAUGUCAAUCCCAUCACAUCACCCCACUUAAGGAUCAGAAGCGCUGCAGUGAAAACCCUCAUAGAAAACACCCCAAGUGAAAGCAUACCAAGGAAACACAAGCUUCGGAUCGAGGAAAGGAAUCAAAGUGUCUUAUUCAUCUACCAACCUGUAGUCAUUGCUCAAGCAAAAGCUGUUUGAAAACCAGAAGCACAAAGAGUCUCACGGGAGCGUGUUGGUUGUGGAGAGCAAUGCGGGAUGUUUGGCCACAUCCCGAACUCGGCGUGAUGUCAGGGAGCUUUUGGCUUUGGGCAUCUGCCUGUAGACACCUCAACGUGGAGGCGAUGUUUCAGCACUCAGGGAGAGCUCACAGCAGUUUGGCCAAUCUGAUAAAGGAGAUGAAUCAUUCUGGAGUCAUCUGCUGCUAAAAUGAACCCAUCACAUAGAUGACAUGAGUGUCCUGAGAGAUGGUACAGCAGAGAACCCUUCUGUUGGUUUUAUGGGCCUGCAUCCGAGCGAGGUGGGUACCUUUCUGGGAUGGAACACACUUUGUUCAAAACUACUUCCACCCUUAAUGAACUUCCCAUAAGCAAAGUUUCCUGGCACAGAACUUUCCUUGUAGCUGUAAUUUGUCCGUGAACACUUUGUAUGCUAGAGUCUGGAAUAAAACACCCCUGUGCCAGAAAGAGACAAAUUUCAUCUGGCAGCGUGGGCUGCAUCACAAAUGUAUGCUGUUUGUAGGAAGAGAGGACCAAAGUGCACCUAGAAAGCAAUCGGUGCAACUGUUGACCCGUUCAUGAUCUAUCCCUGAUCAUCUCAUUUAAUCCAAAUCAAGCAUAAAACUUGGAAACACCUGAAGAAAUUCUUCAGUAAGAAGACUGAAUGCUGGCUGCCUAAACUCAAACACAACGGGACUCGUUAGAGCUGCAGGGCAAAGCCCCAUGGAUUUGGAAGUAACAAGAUGAGAACUCAUUGUAUGGAAAGAUCUGAGACUGCAACCCAAGACAUCCUCCCUCACGUUCUCAAGAACUUCCCCACAUGUUGGCAGUCUCAUGGUCCGUAUUUCAGAAGGGACAAGCAGACUGCGUAGACCUUCCAUCUCAUUUGGGCCAUGCACCUACUGACCACACGCCUGGCCAAGAGAGCUGUUGUGAAGUCAUCUACUUCAGACCCUGGAGACCUCUUCAGUAGGAGAUACCAUUUCCCAAGGAAUCUGUGCCUAGAUUUAACCACUGCUAAAAUGUGAACCUUAGUUCUGGACAAUACCAACAGCAAGCUGUCUGAAUUACCCCUUCCCUCUGAAUUAAGUCUGAGUACUAUUAUA
RNAcentral lists this long non-coding RNA (1804 nucleotides) under Gallus gallus (chicken). RNAcentral's name for it is "long non-coding RNA NONGGAT005575". The record is from RNAcentral. Lineage: Eukaryota; Metazoa; Chordata; Aves; Galliformes; Phasianidae.